GAUGAACGCUGGCGGCGUGCUUAACACAUGCAAGUCGAACGAUGAAGCCCAGCUUGCUGGGUGGAUUAGUGGCGAACGGGUGAGUAACACGUGAGUAACCUGCCCUUGACUCUGGGAUAAGCCUGGGAAACUGGGGCUAAUACUGGAUAUGACUUCUCAUCGCAUGGGGGGGGGUGGGAAGAUUUAUUGGUCUUGGAUGGACUCGCGGCCUAUCAGCUUGUUGGUGAGGUAAUGGCUCACCAAGGCGACGACGGGUAGCCGGCCUGAGAGGGUGACCGGCCACACUGGGACUGAGACACGGCCCAGACUCCUACGGGAGGCAGCAGUGGGGAAUAUUGCACAAUGGGCGCAAGCCUGAUGCAGCGACGCCGCGUGAGGGAUGACGGCCUUCGGGUUGUAAACCUCUUUCAGUAGGGAAGAAGCGAGAGUGACGGUACCUGCAGAAGAAGCGCCGGCUAACUACGUG
RNAcentral lists this ribosomal RNA (466 nucleotides) under uncultured bacterium. Its description in RNAcentral is "partial 16S ribosomal RNA". It matches the Rfam family "Bacterial small subunit ribosomal RNA", at positions 28 to 507 of the family's 1533-position model. The record is from RNAcentral.